RNAcentral lists this ribosomal RNA (253 nucleotides) under uncultured bacterium. Its description in RNAcentral is "partial 16S ribosomal RNA". It matches the Rfam family "Bacterial small subunit ribosomal RNA", at positions 524 to 776 of the family's 1533-position model. The record is from RNAcentral.
UACGUAGGGUGCGAGCGUUGUCCGGAAUUAUUGGGCGUAAAGGGCUCGUAGGCGGUUUGUCGCGUCGGGAGUGAAAACCUACAGCUUAACUGUGGGCUUGCUUUCGAUACGGGCAGACUAGAGGUAUGCAGGGGAGAACGGAAUUCCUGGUGUAGCGGUGAAAUGCGCAGAUAUCAGGAGGAACACCGGUGGCGAAGGCGGUUCUCUGGGCAUUACCUGACGCUGAGGAGCGAAAGUGUGGGGAGCGAACAGG